AAGCUCGUAGUUGAAUUUCGGGGUUCUACCGUUGGUCGGGCUAACCAGUCUGUACUAGCGUGUAGAAUUCCUACCUUCUGGGGAACCAUCACGUUAUUAAUUUAGCGUGGUGGGAAACCAGGACCUUUACCUUGAAAAAAUUAGAGUGUUCAAAGCAGGCUUACGUCUGAAUACAUUAGCAUGGAAUAAUAAAAUAGGACGGUGGUCCUGUUUUGUUGGUUUCUGAAUCACCGUAAUGAUUAAUAGGGAUAGUUGGG
This 257-nucleotide ribosomal RNA is filed under the name uncultured Scutellospora. RNAcentral describes it as "partial 18S ribosomal RNA". It matches the Rfam family "Eukaryotic small subunit ribosomal RNA", at positions 624 to 886 of the family's 1831-position model. Lineage: Eukaryota; Fungi; Glomeromycota; Glomeromycetes; Diversisporales; Gigasporaceae. The record is from RNAcentral.